Molecule: ribosomal RNA, 253 nt
Filed under: uncultured bacterium
Lineage: Bacteria
Description: partial 16S ribosomal RNA
Rfam family: Bacterial small subunit ribosomal RNA
Source: RNAcentral
UACGUAGGGGGCAAGCGUUGUCCGGAAUUAUUGGGCGUAAAGAGCGCGUAGGCGGUCCGGUAAGUCGGCUGUGAAAGUCAAGGGCUCAACCCUUGAAAGCCGGCCGAUACUGUCGGACUAGAGUCCGGAAGAGGCGAAUGGAAUUCCCGGUGUAGCGGUGAAAUGCGCAGAUAUCGAGAGGAACACCGGUGGCGAAGGCGGUUCUCUGGGCCUUACCUGACGCUGAGGAGCGAAAGCGUGGGGAGCGAACAGG